This is a long non-coding RNA of Acyrthosiphon pisum (pea aphid), 186 nucleotides long. RefSeq lists it as uncharacterized. The record is from RefSeq and is a predicted model, not a curated record. NCBI's taxonomy places the organism in Eukaryota, Metazoa, Arthropoda, Insecta, Hemiptera, Aphididae. The transcript has 3 exons.
GAUAAAAUUGAAAAAUUAUUUUUAUUUCUUAGUCCGUAUCUGCAAUAGUGAUGAAGAAAUAUCCUGUUGUAUAAGGUGUAUUUACUACCUGACGGUUUUGAAAACUUGUUUUGUUUUACUGUGGUGGUUGUUGAUUUUUUUGGUUUGUAACUGGUUGUUUGAACAUCAAAGUCAUCCAGAUCAGAA